Molecule: long non-coding RNA, 713 nt
Filed under: Physcomitrium patens
Lineage: Eukaryota; Viridiplantae; Streptophyta; Bryopsida; Funariales; Funariaceae
Description: long non-coding RNA (PPAT_LNC002983)
Source: RNAcentral
CAUCGGAUUUUCUUCAAUAAGUCACUCAAUUUCUUUUGGUUCAAUGUGAGAUUUUGAAUGGUUGUAGAUUUUUUUGUUAGCUUUCCAAAAAGAUAAGAUUUGCUUGAUUUGGAGUAAGAAGGAAUGUUUGGUGAAUUUUUGAGUUUGAGGGAGUCGACUGCCUUUGCAGUUUGAAUCAGUCGAGUUUGGAAAGGCAUUUCUCAGUGCCUGGUGAUUGGAUUUAUUUGAAAUUUUGGGAGCAUCAAGCUUUAUAAGCUAAGCUCUGAAAGGCACCAGUUUUGGUGAAUUUUAAGACAAUCUGAAUUUUUAGUGAAUUUCUAAGUGAAGAGGGAUGGUCACUGUGGAAGUUUGGAUCAGUCAACUUCAAAGGAGGAAUUCUCACGAUUGGAUCAUUAGAUUGCAACGAAGAUUUUUGGAUCAAAAGCGCCUUCAAGUCAGCCUUGCAACAAGCUAAUAAUCAUUCAAAUUAAAAUUGAUUACAAAUUUUGGAAAAUUUUGGAGUAGAAGGGGGUGGCUACCUUCAAUCCUUAAGUGUUGUCAAGGUACCUUUGCUUUCACCUCUCUCAUUUUAUUUUUACUAUCAUCUUCACAAUGACUUGCAAGUUCCACAUUUCACUUUUGGCUAAUAAAUUUUAAGUUUAACUUUUAACCUUUAAUAUUCUUACUUUAACUUUUAAUUUUUAACUAAAUUUUUAAUUUUAACUUUUUACUUA